GCAUACCCCCUGGCUUUAACAGUACUGGAAUGGGGCUGGAUUGAUAAGCGUGCAGGAAAAACUAGAAGAAAAACUACCACCCUACAUACGUCCUACCCCAGCUGAUAGUAAAAGUAAUUUUUGGAAAUGGUGACAAAUCUACACCACUAGGUGUGGAUCCCUAGAGAGGAAUCAAUCUAUUAAUCCCACCUUCUGCUAAUUUUAAUUUGCCAAUUUCAUCCUAUACACAGCAUUUAGCAUUGACAACAAGCAUUCAGGUACUUUGGGAAUAUCCUUUCUUAUUCUGUUAUGGCUAUCAGCUAUUCUGGCAACUGGGAAAAGACAGACCAUUUAAACUUUUUGAUAUUCAUUAUGUCGCACUCACUUCAAACGACCAGCAUGAACGCAGAUCAACGACAGCUGCUAUCAGAACCAAUCUUUAUUGAAGAACACACGACUUGGAAAAAGUCGAGAAUGACAUAAUGUUUACAUACAAGCAAUUUUAUCACCUUGGUUGCAACGUAACAUCACACGUAAAUAUCAUCACCAAACCCCACCCCCUGUAUCACAUUUCUACUAUUCCCACACAAACUACUUAUUAUAAUUGUUAUGAUUUUCACCCCCGAGUUCCCAUGCUCUGCUGCCAGGUGUUUUCAUGAGACAUUCAGGAGUGUUGAUGUUAUGGCUCCAAUUCCAGGGCUUGCAAAUUCAGCCCUGGGAAUUGGUCCCAUGACAUGGCGCCCCCCUUUUCUCCGUCCUCCUCUUCUGUGCUUCCUCCAUCACGACAAUUGGAAAGUCACUUCGUUUAUCACAUCCUGUAUCCUGAAAGGUCCAAUAAAUUUGGGGCCCAGUUUUCUUGAAGGUAGCCCCAAUUUGAUGUUUUGUGUGCUUAACAACACUAAGUCCCCUUUCUCCAAUUUUAUCACCUUGCUUGCAACGUAACAUCACACGUAAAUAUCAUCACCAAACCCCACCCCCUGUAUCACAUUUCUACUAUUCCCACACAAACUACUCAUUAUAAUUGUUAUGAUUUUCACCCCCGAGUUCCCAUGCUCUGCUGCCAGGUGUUUUCAUGAGACAUUCAGGAGUGUUGAUGUUAUGGCUCCAAUUCCAGGGCUUGCAAAUUCAGCCCUGGGAAUUGGUCCCAUGACACAUAAUUUUCACAGAUAUAUUCACAAAUCCCAUAAACAAUUUUAAAAGUUUUUUUUCCUGAUUCACUUUCACUCAGAAAAGAAUGCCUCAGUUAACAUGGUACAUUUUGUAAUAUAUCCAUAGCAAAAUGUAAAAGCUACACCUUUUCAUCCUGUUUUCAUCAUGUGAAAAUUUAAAUGGAUUGAAUGGAAUAAUGAAUUAAGACCUAUUUAAUAAAUCAGUGAAGAGACCAUUAAUCAACAUUUCUAAUAAUAAGCAUUAUAAUAUUUUUUGACUAUUUAAGGUGCUCAAAUUUCAUCUGUACUUAAAGAUGGAAGCCCAUUGAUUUUGCAUUUCCCUAUGGAAAUAUAUGUUUUGUAAUUCACUAUACUGACUGCAUAAUACAUAUUGCCUUGAAAUUCCAUGCAUUUCUAAAGACUUGCAGUAUAUGGUGUUGUGCUGACAGUAGAUGGCCUGGGUAUAAACAUACUCAUGCAAUUGAAAAAUGCAUAGAAACUAGACAUGUCCAAAAAAUCGUUUUGAAUCGUAUAUCGGAUUUAUUUCGGAUUGUUCUCGCUUUUUGAUACGCAUUCCGAGACACUGUCUCACAGCACAACCAGCAAUGUAAUUUGAACCAUUGUUGGCCCAUUCUCUAAUUGUCCCUUAAUGUUUCGUUAAUCCCCCCCCAAAUUUAAAAAUAUUGUUUUAAAAUAUAUUUUUUAAUUUUUUUGUUUCUGCAACCUACCUUGAAUGGGAGCUUAGCGCAGCCUAACAUGGCUGCCGCUCCCUGGCCAAUCAGAAGCUUCCAUGAUGGACGCAAAGGUGGGGGCUAGGGUCCUCUGCGUCCACGUGGAAGAUUUCCAUAAAAGCCCGUUGUGUAGCCCGAGCGAGCUAUUCUGGGUUGGGCUUUGUGCGGAGAGAGUGAUGGUCUGCAAACGGAGAGCAAGCAAGCCUCUUGAGGGAGAGAGAGGGUGAAGGGGCCCAGUUUGGCUGUUCCCACAGAGGGGUUUGGAGAAAGGGUUAGGGUUUUGUUGCUGGUUCUUUCUCUUAGGAAGGGAAUUUCUAGUUUUCAAAGUAUCUUUGCACUCCUUGCCAGGGCAUUGCUUGGCAUGGUGGUCACUGGUCCAUUUCUAAUUGAAGGCAUUGGGUUGAGGCUUGUGGGAUUACAUAGCUAGAGACACCAUUGAUUUCCAGUGUCCUUCUUGCUUACAAAUAUAGCAGGGGAAUUUCUAGUUUUCAAAGUAUCUUUGCACAACUUGCAAGGGCAUUGCAAAUUUGAUGAGGAUAGCUCAAGAAAUGAGAGCGGGAGAGCCCUGUAAAAGCCCCCCCCCCCCGGGUUCCUUUUUUUUUGGUGAUUGCGCAUGCCAUUUUAGAAACAUUUAGAAUCAUUACAAAUUUUCAGAAAUAUCCGAAAUUUUUGGGUGAAAAAAUCGGAAAUACUUUCUAUAUCGAAGCGCCUACUUUAGAAAUGAGAAUUGCAACAUUUUUUUCAUCGAUCGGACAUGCCUAAUAGAAACAUACUUGACUCAACAGACAACUAAGCAAAACAAAAACAAAAAGUGAGGUGGAGGGUGAGGUGUACAAUUUUUCUUAUCUUUUCAUAUAAUAAAAAGAAAAGCAAAACAAUAACCAAAAUCCUAGUAUGAAGCAAGACUGUGUAGAAUUCUGCAAAAUUAAAUGAAAAUGAAUUGUGGCAUGGUAUUGCCAUAACUACAGCUUGUGCCAAGAUUCAGCAACAAAACUGUAAUCAUCACUGUGGGAAAUAUCUUUGUUUACUUUAUUCAUGCCUCAUCUCCAAUAUUUGAAGACAGAAGAAUCCUGCAAAACAAUAGCACGAUGGCUGGACUCCUAUCACUGUUACACCAAAAAGUGCAAGCUGAUGCAAGAAAAAUAAUACUUCACAAUAAUUAGUGAGUCUAGAAAAUUCGUAGUCAAUCUCAGGGUGCAUUUACACCAAGCAUGGGCAAACUUCAGCCCUCCAGGUGUUUUGGACUCCAAUUCCCAUGAUUCCCAAUAGCUUACCAGCUGUUAGGAAUUGUAGGAGUUGAAGUCCAAAACAUCUAGAGGGCCAAAGUUUGCCCAUGCCUGAUCUACACUGUAGAAUUAAUGCAAGUUGAAAUAACUUUAACUGCCAUGGCCUAAUACUAUGAAAUCCUAGGAGUUUUAGUUUGAUGAGGCAGAAAAGACCAAAGUCUUAUGAAACUGCAAGUCCCAGGAUUCCAUAGCAUUGAGUCAUGGCAAUUGAAGUGUGGCAAGCUGCAUUCAUUCUACAGUGUAGUUCAGAUACACUAGAAGACUUAAACAGGUUUGAGA
Long non-coding RNA from Anolis carolinensis (green anole), 3423 nucleotides. The record is from Ensembl. NCBI's taxonomy places the organism in Eukaryota, Metazoa, Chordata, Lepidosauria, Squamata, Anolidae.